GUGCUCACUUCAGCAGCACAUAGACUAAAAUUGCAACAAUACAGAGAAGAUUGGCCCCUGAGCAAGGAUGACAGUCAAAUCUGUGAAGUGUUCCAUAUGUUG
Small nuclear RNA from Psammomys obesus (fat sand rat), 102 nucleotides. The record is from RefSeq and is a predicted model, not a curated record. NCBI's taxonomy places the organism in Eukaryota, Metazoa, Chordata, Mammalia, Rodentia, Muridae.